AACGCUGGCGGCGUGCCUAACACAUGCAAGUCGAGCGGUAUAUACUUAAAUGAAACUUCGGUCGAGUGAGGGUAUAGAGAGCGGCGGACGGGUGAGUAACGCGUAGGCAACCUGCCCCAUACAGAGGGAUAGCCUCGGGAAACCGGGAUUAAAACCUCAUAAUGCGAGAGGUUCACAUGGACUUUUCGCCAAAGAUUUAUCGGUAUGGGAUGGGCCUGCGUCUGAUUAGCUAGUUGGUGGGGUAACGGCCUACCAAGGCAACGAUCAGUAGCCGACCUGAGAGGGUAAUCGGCCACAUUGGAACUGAGACACGGUCCAAACUCCUACGGGAGGCAGCAGUGGGGAAUAUUGCACAAUGGGCGAAAGCCUGAUGCAGCAACGCCGCGUGAGCGAUGAAGGCCUUUGGGUCGUAAAGCUCUGUCCUUGGGGAAGAAAAAAAUGACGGUACCCUUGGAGGAAGCCCCGGCUAACUACGUGCCAGCAGCCGCGGUAAUACGUAGGGGGCAAGC
This 509-nucleotide ribosomal RNA is filed under the name anaerobic bacterium U3/P-1. RNAcentral's name for it is "bacterial SSU rRNA". It matches the Rfam family "Bacterial small subunit ribosomal RNA", at positions 32 to 539 of the family's 1533-position model. The record is from RNAcentral.